GAUGAACGCUGGCGGCGUGCUUAACACAUGCAAGUCGAACGAAGCACUUUAUUUGAUUUCCUUCGGGACUGAUUAUUUUGUGACUGAGUGGCGGACGGGUGAGUAACGCGUGGGUAACCUGCCUUGUACAGGGGGAUAACAGUUGGAAACGGCUGCUAAUACCGCAUAAGCGCACAGCAUCGCAUGAUGCAGUGUGAAAAACUCCGGUGGUAUAAGAUGGACCCGCGUUGGAUUAGCUAGUUGGUGAGGUAACGGCCCACCAAGGCGACGAUCCAUAGCCGACCUGAGAGGGUGACCGGCCACAUUGGGACUGAGACACGGCCCAAACUCCUACGGGAGGCAGCAGUGGGGAAUAUUGCACAAUGGGCGAAAGCCUGAUGCAGCGACGCCGCGUGAGCGAAGAAGUAUUUCGGUAUGUAAAGCUCUAUCAGCAGGGAAGAUAAUGACGGUACCUGACUAGAAGCACCGGCUAAAUACGUG
RNAcentral lists this ribosomal RNA (480 nucleotides) under uncultured bacterium. RNAcentral describes it as "partial 16S ribosomal RNA". It matches the Rfam family "Bacterial small subunit ribosomal RNA", at positions 28 to 507 of the family's 1533-position model. The record is from RNAcentral.